CCGGCGGCGGACGUGCGUGAGCGCACCUCGCGCGCUCCCUGCUCCUCUCAAGCCAAUCGGCGGCCGAGGCCAGCGGGCCCCAGGCGCGCUCGCGCUCUCCAGCCAAUCCGCGGCCGCCGCCUCGCGCGCUCCCGCCGCUGCCCCAGCGCGCGCCGGCGGCGGCUCGCAGCGCCCCCACGUGGGGCUGAGGGGGCGGCCGUGCCCGGAGCGGCGGCACCGCGGGCCCGGGGAGGCGGCUGCGGAGCCGGCAAACGGCCGCAGAAUGGUUCCCAGACUCACUGCACCGCUUUCCCGGCACGGAGGAGGGGCUGGACCUGCCGUGCCCUUCCUGAGGGCACAAGUGACGUUUGCUUUGCCCAGGCCGCAGGGACACCCCAGAUCCCCACGAUCUGUCAGCCGGAGCUGGGAACGGCCUCGCGCUCGCACCAGCCGCUCCCGAGUCCUCCGGAACAGACUGUUCCCUUCUCACACGCUGUGGGUUGCUCAGCGAAAACAGGACAAUAUAGUCACGCUGCUGUGUACUUAGUCUCCUGGCUUAAAGCCUUUCUUUAACAGAGGGGAAAGCAAGGCCGGGCUGUGGCCCAAACCAAAGUCACUGCCUGGGAGAGGAGAUGAAUGGGUACCGUUUGCACAAAACUCUUUCCAUUCCCUUGUGCUCUGGCAGCACAGUUGCCCCCGGGAUGCUCAGGAUUGCUCCAUUCUCCGUCACCGCCUCUCCAAGCCAUUCCAGGGAAAACGUUUUAAAAAGAGGAACUGCAGCAAAAGUGCGGAGGAUAUUUCUGCAGCCAAACAGCAGCGGACAGUGUGCGGAGAGGGCGCGUCCUUACGUACAGUGCACCGGAGUAGUCUCGGGACAAUGAGCUGGGUAUGAGCAGGAGAGGUUUGUGCCGCGGUGCGAAGGCGGCGGCCGUACCCCGGUGGGGUCCCCGCCUGGGGUCUCAGGACGCUCUGCACACACAGCGGGCUCCUCUGCUUGGCCUGGGCGCCGGGAGCCACUUCCUGACUGGGACUGGAGGUUAUUCCGUUAGAUAAGACAGACGUUUAAGCAGGUGCAGGGGUAGAUAAGGGGUUUAUGGGUGCUAACAGUGCCAUGUUGGGUGAAUAAAGAGACUUUUAAAUGCCUGUAUCUUUGUAAACGGA
Molecule: long non-coding RNA, 1140 nt
Organism: Columba livia (rock pigeon)
Lineage: Eukaryota; Metazoa; Chordata; Aves; Columbiformes; Columbidae
Exons: 2
Source: RefSeq, a predicted model, not a curated record